Molecule: long non-coding RNA, 199 nt
Filed under: Gossypium raimondii (Peruvian cotton)
Lineage: Eukaryota; Viridiplantae; Streptophyta; Magnoliopsida; Malvales; Malvaceae
Description: long non-coding RNA (GRAI_LNC009840)
Source: RNAcentral
CAAGAGAUAAAGUUGAAGAUGCACUUGAAUCAUGUAAAAUGGCAGAUUCAAGAUGAAUAACAUGAAGAUGAGAAAGGUGUUGAUGAUGAGACUUUUACCAUUUGAAGCAGAUGAUAACAUUAUAAUAGGUAGGGUAGACUUUUACCAUUUGUUGGAUAUUUUUCGUACCCUACUUGAAUUUAUGCAAUAGUCAAAUGGG